Molecule: ribosomal RNA, 257 nt
Filed under: uncultured bacterium
Lineage: Bacteria
Description: partial small subunit ribosomal RNA
Rfam family: Bacterial small subunit ribosomal RNA
Source: RNAcentral
AGGACAAACGCUGGCGGCGUGCUUAACACAUGCAAGUCGAGCGGUGAUCCUCCUUCGGGAGGUGAUCAGCGGCGAACGGGUGAGUAACACGUGGGCAACCUGCCCCUCACACUGGGAUAACCUCGGGAAACCGGGGCUAAUACCGGAUACGACCUCGAGCGGCAUCUCUUGAGGUGGAAAGCUCCGACGGUGAGGGAUGGGCCCGCGGCCUAUCAGCUUGUUGGUGGGGUAAUGGCCUACCAAGGCGACGACGGGUA